RNAcentral lists this ribosomal RNA (461 nucleotides) under uncultured bacterium. Its description in RNAcentral is "bacterial SSU rRNA". It matches the Rfam family "Bacterial small subunit ribosomal RNA", at positions 30 to 507 of the family's 1533-position model. The record is from RNAcentral.
AUUGAACGCUGGCGGCAUGCCUUACACAUGCAAGUCGAACGGCAGCACGGGUGCUUGCACCUGGUGGCGAGUGGCGAACGGGUGAGUAAUACAUCGGAACGUACCUUAUCGUGGGGGAUAACGCAGCGAAAGCUGUGCUAAUACCGCAUACGCCCUGAGGGGGAAAGCGGGGGAUCGAAAGACCUCGCGCGAUUAGAGCGGCCGAUGCCUGAUUAGCUAGUUGGUGGGGUAAAGGCCUACCAAGGCGAUGAUCGGUAGCUGGUCUGAGAGGACGACCAGCCACACUGGAACUGAGACACGGCCCAGACUCCUACGGGAGGCAGCAGUGGGGAAUUUUGGACAAUGGGGGCAACCCUGAUCCAGCAAUGCCGCGUGAGUGAUGAAGGCCUUAGGGUUGUAAAGCUCUUUUACCAGGGAUGAUAAUGACAGUACCUGGAGUAUAAGCUCCGGCUAACUCCGUG